AGGAGACCUCAAAUGGAUAUUGUUGAUGUGGUUGGGAGAAUAAUAGAAGGCAAACGUGAUCGAUGUUGUUUUGAACUUUCUCUUCAAGAUAAGACUGGUCACACAAUACAAUUGUUUUUGUCUGCCCUGAAGCCUUCCGAUGUUAUACGUUCCAUUCGAGCCGUGCAACAAAGGUCCAUCAUAUAUGUAUCACGUCUCAAGUUGGUUCAUCUACCAGA
Helianthus annuus (common sunflower) is the source of this 218-nucleotide long non-coding RNA. RefSeq lists it as uncharacterized. The record is from RefSeq and is a predicted model, not a curated record. The transcript has 3 exons. NCBI's taxonomy places the organism in Eukaryota, Viridiplantae, Streptophyta, Magnoliopsida, Asterales, Asteraceae.